ACGGGGUGCAGCAGGCGCGAAACCUUACACUGCACGCAAGUGCGAUAAGGGGACCCCAAGUGCGAGGGCAUAUAGUCCUCGCUUUUCACGACUGUAAGGCGGUUCGUGGAAUAAGAGCUGGGCAAGACCGGUGCCAGCCGCCGCGGUAAUACCGGCAGCUCAAGUGAUGACCGAUAUUAUUGGGCCUAAAGCGUCCGUAGCCGGCCACGAAGGUUCAUCGGGAAAUCCGCCAGCUCAACUGGCGGGCGUCCGGUGAAAACCACGUGGCUUGGGACCGGAAGGCUCGAGGGGUACGUCCGGGGUAGGAGUGAAAUCCCGUAAUCCUGGACGGACCACCGAUGGCGAAAGCACCUCGAGAAGACGGAUCCGACGGUGAGGGACGAAAGCUAGGGUCUCGAACCGGAUUAGAUACCCGGGUAGUCCUAGCUGUAAACGAUGCUCGCUAGGUGUGACACAGGCUACGAGCCUGUGUUGUGCCGUAGGGAAGCCGAGAAGCGAGCCGCCUGGGAANACUCCGCAAGAGAUA
This 526-nucleotide ribosomal RNA is filed under the name Haloferax prahovense. Its description in RNAcentral is "bacterial SSU rRNA". It matches the Rfam family "Archaeal small subunit ribosomal RNA", at positions 325 to 852 of the family's 1478-position model. Lineage: Archaea; Methanobacteriati; Methanobacteriota; Halobacteria; Halobacteriales; Haloferacaceae. The record is from RNAcentral.